RNAcentral lists this ribosomal RNA (292 nucleotides) under uncultured bacterium. RNAcentral's name for it is "partial 16S ribosomal RNA". It matches the Rfam family "Bacterial small subunit ribosomal RNA", at positions 505 to 796 of the family's 1533-position model. The record is from RNAcentral.
GUGCCAGCCGCCGCGGUAAGACGAACCGUGCGAACGUUGUUCGGAAUCACUGGGCUUAAAGGGCGCGUAGGCGGCCCGCCAAGUCCGGGGUGAAAUCCUCCCGCCCAACGGGAGAAGUGCCUUGGAUACUGGCGGGCUCGAGCGGGGUAGGGGCAUGUGGAACUUCCGGUGGAGCGGUGAAAUGCGUAGAUAUCGGAAGGAACGCCGGUGGCGAAAGCGACGUGCUGGACCCCCCCUGACGCUGAGGCGCGAAAGCCAGGGGAGCGAACGGGAUUAGAAACCCUCGUAGUCC